UUAAUUUGACCUUGAUUGGGAAAAUAGUGC
This 30-nucleotide non-coding RNA is filed under the name Rattus norvegicus (Norway rat). The record is from RNAcentral. Lineage: Eukaryota; Metazoa; Chordata; Mammalia; Rodentia; Muridae.